GGGUCAGUAGGUUGGUCGUGCCACCGGUACGUACUGGUCUCACUGAUCCCUCCUUCCUGAAGAACCGUAAUGCCAUUAAUUUGGUGUUGCGGGGAAACAGGACUGUUACUUUGAAAAAAUUGGAGUGUUUAAAGCAAGCUAACGCUUGAAUACAUUAGCAUGGAAUAAUGAAAUAGGACGAUCGAUCCUAUUUUGUUGGUUUCUAGGAUUGACGUA
RNAcentral lists this ribosomal RNA (216 nucleotides) under Glomeromycotina sp. Its description in RNAcentral is "partial small subunit ribosomal RNA". The stretch from base 75 to 216 matches the Rfam family "Eukaryotic small subunit ribosomal RNA", at positions 721 to 864 of the family's 1831-position model. Lineage: Eukaryota; Fungi; Glomeromycota. The record is from RNAcentral.